GACGAACGCUGGCGGCGUGCCUAAUACAUGCAAGUAGAACGCACAGUUUAUACCGUAGCUUGCUACACCAUAGACUGUGAGUUGCGAACGGGUGAGUAACGCGUAGGUAACCUGCCUGGUAGCGGGGGAUAACUAUUGGAAACGAUAGCUAAUACCGCAUAAUAUUGAUUAUUGCAUGAUAAUUGAUUGAAAGAUGCUAUUGCAUCACUACCAGAUGGACCUGCGUUGUAUUAGCUAGUAGGUGAGGUAACGGCUCACCUAGGCGACGAUACAUAGCCGACCUGAGAGGGUGAUCGGCCACACUGGGACUGAGACACGGCCCAGACUCCUACGGGAGGCAGCAGUAGGGAAUCUUCGGCAAUGGACGAAAGUCUGACCGAGCAACGCCGCGUGAGUGAAGAAGGUUUUCGGAUCGUAAAGCUCUGUUGUAAGAGAAGAACGGGUGUGAGAGUGGAAAGUUCACACUGUGAUGGUAUCUUACCAGAAAGGGACGGCUAACUACGUG
This 505-nucleotide ribosomal RNA is filed under the name uncultured bacterium. Its description in RNAcentral is "partial 16S ribosomal RNA". It matches the Rfam family "Bacterial small subunit ribosomal RNA", at positions 28 to 507 of the family's 1533-position model. The record is from RNAcentral.